RNAcentral lists this ribosomal RNA (477 nucleotides) under Ochetostoma sp. RG-2012-1. Its description in RNAcentral is "partial 16S rRNA". It matches the Rfam family "Bacterial large subunit ribosomal RNA", at positions 1829 to 2597 of the family's 2925-position model. The record is from RNAcentral. Lineage: Eukaryota; Metazoa; Annelida; Polychaeta; Echiuroidea; Thalassematidae.
UUCCUAGAGAAAAAUAAAUUCUAGGUACCCCCUGCCCAAUGAAAACUUUUUAAAUGGCCGCAUAAGUGCUAAGGUAGCAAAAUAAAUUGCCACUUAAUUAGUGGCUAGUAUGAAUGGGGAAACAAAAAAGAAGCUGUCUCUAAAGAACCAAUAAAAAUUAACCUUCAAGUGAAAAGGCUUGAAUGAAAUCAAAAGACAAAAAGACCCUGUCGCGCUUAACCAUUUUCUUUUUCAAAAAACAGAAAAAAGUUUAGUUGGGACGACCGCUGAUCUUAAUAAACACCAGCUUUUUUUUCGGCACACAUGCCACAUUCUUGACCCUAAAAAGAUCAAAGAAAAAAGCAACCGCAGGGAUAACAGGCUAAUUUUCUCAAGAGAGCCCAAAUCGACUGAGUAGAUUGGCACCUCGAUGUUGGCUUAGGGAAACUCCCAGAUGCAGCAAUCUGGAAAGGAGGUUUGUUCAACCUAUGACCCCCU